Molecule: ribosomal RNA, 428 nt
Filed under: Arthrobacter sp. 053-2.2-CV-H20(s)-03
Lineage: Bacteria; Bacillati; Actinomycetota; Actinomycetes; Micrococcales; Micrococcaceae
Description: bacterial SSU rRNA
Rfam family: Bacterial small subunit ribosomal RNA
Source: RNAcentral
ACAUGCAAGUCGAACGAUGAUCCCAGCUUGCUGGGGGAUUAGUGGCGAACGGGUGAGUAACACGUGAGUAACCUGCCCUUGACUCUGGGAUAAGCCUGGGAAACUGGGUCUAAUACCGGAUACGACCAUUCCACGCAUGUGGUGGUGGUGGAAAGCUUUUGUGGUUUUGGAUGGACUCGCGGCCUAUCAGCUUGUUGGUGGGGUAAUGGCCUACCAAGGCGACGACGGGUAGCCGGCCUGAGAGGGUGACCGGCCACACUGGGACUGAGACACGGCCCAGACUCCUACGGGAGGCAGCAGUGGGGAAUAUUGCACAAUGGGCGCAAGCCUGAUGCAGCGACGCCGCGUGAGGGAUGACGGCCUUCGGGUUGUAAACCUCUUUCAGUAGGGAAGAAGCGUAAGUGACGGUACCUGCAGAAGAAGCGCCG